This 749-nucleotide ribosomal RNA is filed under the name Staphylococcus sp. Its description in RNAcentral is "bacterial SSU rRNA". It matches the Rfam family "Bacterial small subunit ribosomal RNA", at positions 99 to 835 of the family's 1533-position model. The record is from RNAcentral. Lineage: Bacteria; Bacillati; Bacillota; Bacilli; Caryophanales; Staphylococcaceae.
CGGACGGGUGAGUAACACGUGGGUAACCUACCUAUAAGACUGGAAUAACUCCGGGAAACCGGGGCUAAUGCCGGAUAAUAUUUAGAACCGCAUGGUUCUAAAGUGAAAGAUGGUUUUGCUAUCACUUAUAGAUGGACCCGCGCCGUAUUAGCUAGUUGGUGGGGUAAUGGCUUACCAAGGCAACGAUACGUAGCCGACCUGAGAGGGUGAUCGGCCACACUGGAACUGAGACACGGUCCAGACUCCUACGGGAGGCAGCAGUAGGGAAUCUUCCGCAAUGGGCGAAAGCCUGACGGAGCAACGCCGCGUGAGUGAUGAAGGUCUUCGGAUCGUAAAACUCUGUUAUUAGGGAAGAACAAAUGUGUAAGUAACUGUGCACGUCUUGACGGUACCUAAUCAGAAAGCCACGGCUAACUACGUGCCAGCAGCCGCGGUAAUACGUAGGUGGCAAGCGUUAUCCGGAAUUAUUGGGCGUAAAGCGCGCGUAGGCGGUUUCUUAAGUCUGAUGUGAAAGCCCACGGCUCAACCGUGGAGGGUCAUUGGAAACUGGGAAACUUGAGUGCAGAAGAGGAAAGUGGAAUUCCAUGUGUAGCGGUGAAAUGCGCAGAGAUAUGGAGGAACACCAGUGGCGAAGGCGACUUUCUGGUCUGUAACUGACGCUGAUGUGCGAAAGCGUGGGGAUCAAACAGGAUUAGAUACCCUGGUAGUCCACGCCGUAAACGAUGAGUGCUAAGUGUUAGGGGGUUUCC